Molecule: ribosomal RNA, 310 nt
Filed under: uncultured eukaryote
Lineage: Eukaryota
Description: partial 18S ribosomal RNA
Rfam family: Eukaryotic small subunit ribosomal RNA
Source: RNAcentral
CCCUUAGAUGUUCUGGGCUGCACGCGUGCUACACUGAUUAUUUCAACAAGUGUUUUAACUGGAGAGUUCGCGUAAUCCUGAAAUGUUAUCGUGAUGGGAGUAGAGUAUUGUAUUUGUUAAUCUUUAACGAGGAAUUCCUAGCAAGUGUAGGUUUAUAAGUUGUUCUGAUUACGUCCCCGCCCUUUGUACACACCGCCCGUCGCUCCUACCGAUUGAUUGAUCCGGUGAAUUACAUAGAAUUUUGCGUUUUACAUGACGGAAGACGAAGUGUUUUAAACCUUAUCAUUUAGAGGAAGGAGAAGUCGUAACA